Molecule: long non-coding RNA, 1636 nt
Filed under: Nicotiana tabacum (common tobacco)
Lineage: Eukaryota; Viridiplantae; Streptophyta; Magnoliopsida; Solanales; Solanaceae
Description: long non-coding RNA (NTAB_LNC017255)
Source: RNAcentral
AAUUCAAACAACAUUACUAAUCAGAAGACGGGUGCCGGAAUCAUCCGUAAGAUACCGGGUUGGAUACGAAAAGGUGCAAAACCAGGAGGCAAAGUCGCCGGCAAAGCUUGUAAAAUUUGCUCAUGUAAAUACCAGAUUUGCAGCAAAUGUCCUAAAUGUCAUGACUAAAGUUAGGCCUUGAGACUAUGUACUUGUGCUGGUGUGAGUUUAAUUUUGAGAGUAAAGGGAAAGUUAUGAAUAGCCUAAUAUAAUUCUAUUACUAUGUUUUCUUAGUAAUUCUUAUUGUUGAAACUUGGAACAGGUCUUUGGGUCAAAAUGUACCUCUUGUCUUGUAGUCUUUCAACUGUAUAGUAUUGUACUGUAUUUUUCUUUAGCCACUUGAUAUCAAAUCCGAUUAAAUGUAAUUUGCGUUGCAUAUGUUUUACCACAGUCAGACCUUUCUAUAACAACAUUCGUAUAUAACAGCCUUUCAUUAUAAAAAUCAAUUUUUUCUUGGAAUCGAUUUUUUAUGUUAUGCUAUAAUAUAUGUUUUCUUUAACAGCACUUCACUAUAGCAGCAAAAAAAUAUCGAAACAAACGAGAUUGUUAUCGAUGGGUUUGACUGUACAAGGAAACGGGUUCUUAUAAAAAGGUUUAUCAUUUUUAGAGUUCGAACCUAAGAUCUUUGAUUAAGUUGGGUAUAGAAAUAACCUUUAUCCGUAGUAUAUAUACCGGGAUCUUGUAUCAGCGAUUAUAUAAUAAUUACUUGAUCCCAAAGACAUUAUAGGAGCUUAAUUUGGAAGAGCAAUUUGCUCGACAGAUAAAUUAAUUUCUGUCUCCUUGCCCUCUCUUACAAUAAUGGGGCGGUAGUUGAUUAAGCCAUAUUCAAUAUUUACAGCAAAGAUUACAUAUAGGAUACCUCUAACAUGAAUCCAGCACUCCUUUACAAGCUAAUUAUUAAUUUUGCCUUGAACAGUAUAAAGUUUAAUCCGAAUACUAUUCCGUAAUCAUAUAUUAGUCUCAUAGAUAUACUAUUCCGCAAAUUUAACCCCUUUUUAUAAUGAACAUUGUUAAUCAGUAACUUGUGCAAUAUAAUGCCCUUUUACAGUCACAGAUCUCUCUCCUAGUAGGGUUAAAAAAAACAAAGAAGAGAAAUGGCAAUGCAAAGAUGAGAGAAAGCACAGUCACCUGCUUUUUGCGGAUGACCUUAUACUAUUCGCUCGUGCUGACCUAGACAAUGCCAACACUAUCAUUAAUAUAUUCAACUCUCUCCACAUCCAAUCAGCAAAAAAUUUAUUUCUCUAAAUCAAAACUUUUGUUUUUCAAAAACGUACCGCUCGACACUCAAGAAUGCCUUACCAGUGCCCUAAACAUCCGCAAGGCUACCAACUUUGGUAAAUAUCUAGGAUUCCACCUAACUAACAAUUCCCCCAAAGGCAAAGACUAUCAAUUCAUAAUUAAUAAAAUGAAUAACAAGCUCACAGGAUGGAAAGCAAAACUCUCAACAUGGCAUGUAGAACUACCCUCAUACACUCUAUACUAGCCACAAUUCCAAACUGUUCCAUGCAAAAUAACCUACUGCCAAUCUCUGCUAGGAACCACAUAGAUCGAAUCCAACAAAACUUCCCAUGGGGUUCAACUACAGAAAAAAGAAAAG